AACAUCGCGCACCUGCGGGAACCUGCGGAAGGAUCAUUACAGAGUUGCAAAACUCCCACAAACCAUCGCGAAUCUUACCCGUACGGUUGCCUCGGCGCUGGCGGUCCGGAAGGCCCUCGGGCCCCCGGACCCUCGGGUCUCCCGCUCGCGGGAGGCUGCCCGCCGGAGUGCCGAAACCAAACUCUUGAUAUUUUUAUGUCUCUCUGAGUAAACUUUUAAAUAAGUCAAAACUUUUAACAA
Molecule: unclassified non-coding RNA, 240 nt
Filed under: soil metagenome
Description: partial contains 5.8S ribosomal RNA, internal transcribed spacer 2, and large subunit ribosomal RNA
Source: RNAcentral